Molecule: ribosomal RNA, 349 nt
Filed under: uncultured bacterium
Lineage: Bacteria
Description: partial 16S ribosomal RNA
Rfam family: Bacterial small subunit ribosomal RNA
Source: RNAcentral
CCUACGGGUGGCAGCAGUGGGGAAUAUUGGACAAUGGGGGAAACCCUGAUCCAGCGACGCCGCGUGAGGGAAGAAGGUGUUCGGAGUGUAAACCGCUGUCAGUGGGGACGAGAAUGACGGUACCCACGGAGGAAGCCACGGCUAACUACGGGCCAGCAGCCGCGGUAAUACGUAGGUGGCAAGCGUUGUCCGGAAUUACUGGGGGUAAAGGGAGCGUAGGCGGGAUGUCAAGUCAGAAGUGAAAAUUAUGGGCUCCACUCAUAACCUGCUUUUGAAACUGAUAUUCUUGAGUGAAGUAGAGGCCAGCGGACUUCCUCGUGUAGCUGUGAACUGCGUAGAUAUUAGGCGG